UACGUAGGGUGCAAGCGUUAUCCGGAUUCCCUGGGUUUAAAGGGUGCGUAGGCGGGCAGGUAAGUCAGUGGUGAAAUCUCCGAGCUUAACUCGGAAACUGCCGUUGAUACUAUUUGUCUUGAAUAUUGUGGAGGUAAGCGGAAUAUGUCAUGUAGCGGUGAAAUGCUUAGAUAUGACAUAGAACACCAAUUGCGAAGGCAGCUUACUACACAACGAUUGACGCUGAGGCACGAAAGCGUGGGGAUCAAACAGG
RNAcentral lists this ribosomal RNA (253 nucleotides) under uncultured bacterium. Its description in RNAcentral is "partial 16S ribosomal RNA". It matches the Rfam family "Bacterial small subunit ribosomal RNA", at positions 524 to 776 of the family's 1533-position model. The record is from RNAcentral.